Molecule: ribosomal RNA, 145 nt
Filed under: Priestia megaterium
Lineage: Bacteria; Bacillati; Bacillota; Bacilli; Caryophanales; Bacillaceae
Description: Bacillus megaterium partial 23S ribosomal RNA
Rfam family: Bacterial large subunit ribosomal RNA
Source: RNAcentral
AUGGUUAAGUUAGAAAGGGCGCACGGUGAAUGCCUUGGCACUAGGAGCCGAUGAAGGACGGGACUAACACCGAUAUGCUUCGGGGAGCUGUAAGUGAGCUUUGAUCCGGAGAUUUCCGAAUGGGGAAACCCACUGUUCGUAAUGG